This 453-nucleotide ribosomal RNA is filed under the name uncultured bacterium. RNAcentral's name for it is "bacterial SSU rRNA". It matches the Rfam family "Bacterial small subunit ribosomal RNA", at positions 340 to 786 of the family's 1533-position model. The record is from RNAcentral.
UACGGAAGGCAGCAGUGGGGAAUAUUGCACAAUGGGCGCAAGCCUGAUGCAGCCAUGCCGCGUGUAUGAAAAAGGCCUUCGGGUUGUAAAGUACUUUCAGUCGUGAGGAAGGUGUUAAGGUUAAUAACCUUAGCAAUUGACGUUAGCGACAGAAGAAGCACCGGCUAACUCCGUGCCAGCAGCCGCGGUAAUACGGAGGGUGCGAGCGUUAAUCGGAAUUACUGGGCGUAAAGGGCACGCAGGCGGUUAAUUAAGUUGGAUGUGAAAUCCCCGGGCUUAACCUGGGAAUGGCAUUCAAGACUGGUUAGCUAGAGUCUUGUAGAGGGGGUAGAAUUCCAUGUGUAGCGGUGAAAUGCGUAGAGAUGUGGAGGAAUACCGGUGGCGAAGGCGGCCCCUGGACAAAGGCUGACGCUCAUGUGCGAAAGCGUGGGGAGCAAAUAGGGAUUAGAUACC